ACCGCAUGGUUCGGUGUGAAAAACUCCGGUGGUGUAAGAUGGACCCGCGUCUGAUUAGCUGGUUGGUGAGGUAACGGCUCACCAAGGCGACGAUCAGUAGCCGGCCUGAGAGGGUGAACGGCCACAUUGGGACUGAGACACGGCCCAAACUCCUACGGGAGGCAGCAGUGGGGAAUAUUGCACAAUGGGGGAAACCCUGAUGCAGCAACGCCGCGUGAGUGAAGAAGUCAUUCGUGAUGUAAAGCUCUAUCAGCAGGGAAGAAAAUGACGGUACCUGACUAAGAAGCCCCGGCUAACUACGUGCCAGCAGCCGCGGUAAUACGUAGGGGGCAAGCGUUAUCCGGAUUUACUGGGUGUAAAGGGAGCGUAGACGGCGACGCAAGUCUGAAGUGAAAUGCCAGUGCUCAACACUGGAACUGCUUUGGAAACUGUGUAGCUAGAGUGCAGGAGAGGUAAGUGGAAUUCCUAGUGUAGCGGUGAAAUGCGUAGAUAUUAGGAGGAACACCAGUGGCGAAGGCGGCUUACUGGACUGUAACUGACGUUGAGGCUCGAAGGCGUGGGGAGCAAACAGGAUUAGAUACCCUGGUAGUCCACGCGGUAAACGAUGAUUACUAGGUGUCGGGGGGCUAUAGCCCUUCGGUGCCGCCGCAAACGC
RNAcentral lists this ribosomal RNA (655 nucleotides) under uncultured bacterium. RNAcentral describes it as "bacterial SSU rRNA". It matches the Rfam family "Bacterial small subunit ribosomal RNA", at positions 185 to 858 of the family's 1533-position model. The record is from RNAcentral.